Molecule: unclassified non-coding RNA, 225 nt
Filed under: Paxillus ammoniavirescens
Lineage: Eukaryota; Fungi; Basidiomycota; Agaricomycetes; Boletales; Paxillaceae
Description: partial internal transcribed spacer 2
Source: RNAcentral
AAUUCUCAACCAUCCCUCGAUUUGUUUCGAGGUUUGGCUUGGAUUUUGGGAGCUGCCGGGCGACCCUACGGUCUUCGGCUCUCCUUAAAAGCAUUAGCGAUGGUGGAACGACCUAACUCCAUGCAUGAACGGCCUUCGACGUGAUAAUGAUCGUCGUGGCUGGAGUGCUAGCGGGCGUCGUGAAGCCAGCGCUUCUAAAUCUCUCGUCGAAAGACGAAACUCGAA